UUUUAAUUGGGAGUGGGACAGUAAUGAGAUUUUCGCAAAAUUUAUUUCGUCGUCCCACCACAAC
RNAcentral lists this small RNA (64 nucleotides) under Staphylococcus aureus. Its description in RNAcentral is "3'UTR". The record is from RNAcentral. Lineage: Bacteria; Bacillati; Bacillota; Bacilli; Caryophanales; Staphylococcaceae.